RNAcentral lists this ribosomal RNA (902 nucleotides) under Salmonella enterica. RNAcentral's name for it is "partial 23S ribosomal RNA". It matches the Rfam family "Bacterial large subunit ribosomal RNA", at positions 1 to 933 of the family's 2925-position model. The record is from RNAcentral. Lineage: Bacteria; Pseudomonadati; Pseudomonadota; Gammaproteobacteria; Enterobacterales; Enterobacteriaceae. RNAcentral also lists the same sequence under 2 other names.
GGGUUGUGAGGUUAAGCGACUAAGCGUACACGGUGGAUGCCCUGGCAGUCAGAGGCGAUGAAGGGCGUGCUAAUCUGCGAUAAGCGCCGGUAAGGUGAUAUGAACCGUUAUAACCGGCGAUACCCGAAUGGGGAAACCCAGUGUGACUCGUCACACUAUCAUUAACUGAAUCCAUAGGUUAAUGAGGCGAACCGGGGGAACUGAAACAUCUAAGUACCCCGAGGAAAAGAAAUCAACCGAGAUUCCCCCAGUAGCGGCGAGCGAACGGGGAGGAGCCCAGAGCCUGAAUCAGCAUGUGUGUUAGUGGAAGCGUCUGGAAAGACGCGCGAUACAGGGUGACAGCCCCGUACACAAAAGCGUAUGUGCUGUGAGCUCGAUGAGUAGGGCGGGACACGUGGUAUCCUGUCUGAAUAUGGGGGGACCAUCCUCCAAGGCUAAAUACUCCUGACUGACCGAUAGUGAACCAGUACCGUGAGGGAAAGGCGAAAAGAACCCCGGCGAGGGGAGUGAAAAAGAACCUGAAACCGUGUACGUACAAGCAGUGGGAGCACAGGUUUACCUGUGUGACUGCGUACCUUUUGUAUAAUGGGUCAGCGACUUAUAUUCUGUAGCAAGGUUAACCGAAUAGGGGAGCCGGAGGGAAACCGAGUCUUAAUUGGGCGUUAAGUUGCAGGGUAUAGACCCGAAACCCGGUGAUCUAGCCAUGGGCAGGUUGAAGGUUGGGUAACACUAACUGGAGGACCGAACCGACUAAUGUUGAAAAAUUAGCGGAUGACCUGUGGCUGGGGGUGAAAGGCCAAUCAAACCGGGAGAUAGCUGGUUCUCCCCGAAAGCUAUUUAGGUAGCGCCUCGUGAAUUCAUCUCCGGGGGUAGAGCACUGUUUCGGCUAGGGGGUCAUCCCG